This 254-nucleotide ribosomal RNA is filed under the name uncultured bacterium. Its description in RNAcentral is "partial 16S ribosomal RNA". It matches the Rfam family "Bacterial small subunit ribosomal RNA", at positions 524 to 776 of the family's 1533-position model. The record is from RNAcentral.
UACGAAGGGGGCGAGCGUUGUUCGGAAUUAUUGGGCGUAAAGCGCUCGUAGGCGGGACAGGAAGUUCGUGUUGAAAGACCUCGGCUCAACUGAGGGACCGGCUCGAAUACUCUUGUUCUUGAGGCAAUCAGAGGGUGAUGGAAUUCCCGGUGUAGCGGUGAAAUGCGUAGAUAUCGAGAGGAACACCAGAGGUGAAGACGGGUUGCUGGGCCGACACUGACGCUGACAGCGCGAAAGCCAGGGGAGCAAACGGG